AAGUCGUAACAAGGUUUCCGUAGGUGAACCUGCGGAAGGAUCAUUAACACGUAUCCAAACGUUAAAACAACCUUUCAGAUUGAUGGUUGCUUGGGGGCACCAGGAGUGGAUAGUUGUAAACGCUCGACCCAAUACAGGUGCUACUCGUGCGCCAUCCUCUAACUCAAAACCUUGUUAAGACAAUGAUUUACUAGAGGAAGCCCAUUUUUCUGCCCUGGGUGUUUGGUGAAUUGUGCAAGGGCAGCGCAGUCAACGAUCGGUGGUCCACACGGCCAUCGACCGGGGGUCGUUACCUCCCUGUGGGGCCAAGUUCAUUCAGGUUGAACAUGAUGCAUGUCUACCGCGCCCGACGAAAGUCCGACGCACCCCUAACCGAACAACUGUUAACAAUGGAUAUCUUGGUUCUC
RNAcentral lists this unclassified non-coding RNA (407 nucleotides) under fungal sp. RNAcentral's name for it is "partial internal transcribed spacer region". The stretch from base 1 to 46 matches the Rfam family "Eukaryotic small subunit ribosomal RNA", at positions 1786 to 1831 of the family's 1831-position model. The record is from RNAcentral. Lineage: Eukaryota; Fungi.